UGAACGCUGGCGGUAGGCCUAACACAUGCAAGUCGAACGGCAGCACAGUAAGAGCUUGCUCUUACGGGUGGCGAGUGGCGGACGGGUGAGGAAUACAUCGGAAUCUACUUUUUCGUGGGGGAUAACGUAGGGAAACUUACGCUAAUACCGCAUACGACCUACGGGUGAAAGCAGGGGAUCUUCGGACCUUGCGCGAUUGAAUGAGCCGAUGUCGGAUUAGCUAGUUGGCGGGGUAAAGGCCCACCAAGGCGACGAUCCGUAGCUGGUCUGAGAGGAUGAUCAGCCACACUGGAACUGAGACAUGGUCCAGACUCCUACGGGAGGCAGCAGUGGGGAAUAUUGGACAAUGGGCGCAAGCCUGAUCCAGCCAUACCGCGUGGGUGAAGAAGGCCUUCGGGUUGUAAAGCCCUUUUGUUGGGAAAGAAAAGCAGCAGGUUAAUACCCCGCUGUUCUGACGGUACCCAAAGAAUAAGCACCGGCUAACUUCGUG
RNAcentral lists this ribosomal RNA (490 nucleotides) under uncultured bacterium. RNAcentral describes it as "partial 16S ribosomal RNA". It matches the Rfam family "Bacterial small subunit ribosomal RNA", at positions 30 to 507 of the family's 1533-position model. The record is from RNAcentral.